GACGAACGCUGGCGGCGUGCUUAACACAUGCAAGUCGAACGGAAAGGCCCUGCUUUUGUGGGGUUCUCGAGUGGCGAACGGGUGAGUAACACGUGAGUAACCUGCCCUUGACUUUGGGAUAACUGCAGGAAACUGGGGCUAAUACCGGAUAGGAGCCCCUGCUGCAUGGUGGGGGUUGGAAAGUUUCGGCGGUUGGGGAUGGACUCGCGGCUUAUCAGCUUGUUGGUGGGGUAGUGGCUUACCAAGGCUUUGACGGGUAGCCGGCUCGAGAGGGUGACCGGCCACAUUGGGACUGAGAUACGGCCCAGACUCCUACGGGAGGCAGCGGUGGGGAAUAUUACACAAUGGGAGGAAGCCUGAUGCAGCAACGCCGCGUGCGGGAUGACGGCCUUCGGGUUGUAAACCGCUUUCGCCUGUGACGAAGCGUGAGUGACGGUAAUGGGUAAAGGAGCACCGGCUAACUACGUG
Molecule: ribosomal RNA, 468 nt
Filed under: uncultured bacterium
Lineage: Bacteria
Description: partial 16S ribosomal RNA
Rfam family: Bacterial small subunit ribosomal RNA
Source: RNAcentral